UGGUGGGGAUUUGCUUUGAGUUCCCAUGAAGCCUAGGUUGUUCUAGUCCUACUGCUGUAACCUCCUUAGUGCUCAGAUUACAGGUAUAAGCUGCUGAUUGCCAGAUCUUAACUUCUGAGGGAAGUAUGUAGAAAUAGCACCACACAGUGGAAGGGCAGUUUCUCCUGAGAACCAGCUUUUUAAUGCAUCAGGAGAGCUGGGAAAGGAUGCUUCUUCACUCAGCUGAUGGAGCCCAUCCUCCUGUCUGCUCUUUUCUUUAUGUUACUUGGGAAUGUGUUUACUGUCGCCAUCUCCAUGUUAGUCAUAAGAUGCUAUGCCUUGAGAUGGUGAGCUUCUUGCCACUGUUGACAGCGGAGAGGGGGAUUUGUAGAACCUCGUGUCUUAGUGAAAACAUCGGAACAAUGGUUCUCAAAGUGGGGUCCUCGGAGCAGCAAUACAAGCAUGUCUGGGAGCUUGUCAGAGAGGUAGACCCUCUCCACUGGCUUGCACACUGAAGUUAUAUUGCCUCGUACUCUGGGACUCUAGGUAGUUCCAGGGCCUUUCUAUAUGGUCUCAAUUUUGAGUUCUAGAGAAAAGUCUGGGGUGGCGUUUACAGCUACCAGCCUUGCAACAGCUGUGUAUAACAGGAUCUGAACUUGAAGAAGAGGAACCGAUAAUCUCAAGAUAGAUGUGAAGUAGCUAAAUAACAAAUAGAUGGAGACUGAAGAGAGAAGGGUACAGAGAAAGGAAGUACAGGCGACUGCUGUUUAAGCUCCUUGUAGAGGCUUUGUGACCCAAGGUUUCUGAAUGGCAACCACUGGAUAUGCAUGUUCUAUGCAGUUCAACAAAUUCCAGAAGAUUACAGCAGAGAAAAGUAGUUUGUAAAAUAAACUUACCCGGCAUAGUGAAGUAUGUUGCAGUGUGGGAUCUAUACAGCCUGUAGACAAGCAGCUUUUGGGCAAGAAGGACCAAGCAGUUUCAGGAAUCUCAUCAUAACUGCAGAGGAAAUCCAAGCUUCAGGAGUGGAGCUUGGGCUCUGAAGUGAGCUGCCUAGGUUCAUAUGCAGGUUCCAAGUGAUGACCUGUAUGAAAAUCACUCUCCCCCCAAUCUUUUAUAUGAGGUUAGUAAUAGUACCCACCCCCAAGAACUGUUCUUGACAAUUUUGAGGGGAUAUUGGAUUUAGUAAUGAUUAAAUGAGAUAUGUGAAAGCAGUUCUCAGCAUAUUGCCUAGGUGUUUCCUUCCUUUCUUCCCUCCUUCCUUCCUUCCUUUUUCUUUCUGUCUUCUCUUUCUUUCUUUCAUUUUUGUUUGUUCAUUUUGAAAUUGAUGAGUGUUUCCUUGCUUUAGGACAUGUGAUAGCUAUAAAUGUGUGAGGUUAACAAUGAGACUCUUUUUGCAAUAUUCUCAGUGAAUGUUGUUUAAAUCAUAAAAAUAGUUUUUUAUUUUACAAAAUUUAAAAACAUGGGAUUUUCUAGAGGAGAAAAUAAUCCCAUCCCUACCAGUCUUUUGUUUAUAUUUAUUUAUAGUAGGUGUGAACUUGAAUGUGUGGAAGUAAGAGUGUGUAGGAGUUGGUUCUCUCCUUUAAGGAUGUAGGCUCCAAGAUGGAACUUGGGUUAUCAAGGUAACCUGCAUGACAGUGCUCACUUAUAAGCAUAACUUUUUUCUUUUUAAAGUCUGAGUUGAAGUCAGGUUUUCUCUCUUCUAGCUAACUGAUUAUUCUCUGUAAUACAACAUGAAUGAAUAUUUGCUUAUUAGCAGCACUGAAAAUUUCUUUACUAACUGUCAAAGACCAAUACUUGUAGAAGGAAUGAAUAAAUAGGAUAGUCAAGAAAUUGUCUUUUUAUUUUGUCAACUAACAGUCAACUCUUACGGUCUGGAAUCAAAGACAUAGUAUUGUUAAUUUUUAAUGUAUUUUAAUGUUUUAUUUAUAUUUCUGGAAAUAUAAUGCACAUAGAAUGAACAAAUCUUGUUCCUGUCAUAACUCAUACACCUUUGCUCUCCAUCCUUCAAGAUGUAGGACAGUUCUAUUGCCUAGAAAAUUCCUUUGUACCCACCUUCACCCUGUGCGGUUAACUUUUCCCAUCACUGCAACACAACACUCAACAAAAAGGGACUUUAAAACAGGAAGCGUUUAUUUUAACUCGGAGUUCCAGCAGGAACUUGAGGCAGCCAGUCACCUUGCAUCUGCAGUGGAGAGAAAGAUGAAUUGCUAGUACUAACUUGGCUUUCUUCUUAUGUUCCAGGAACUCAUUCAGGGAAUGCUGCUUCCUGCUGUAAGGCUAUCUUCUCACUUUACUGAAGCUAAUUUAGAAAAUUCACCACAGAUAUAACUAGGAGCUUGCCUCUUCAGUGAUUCUGGGUCCUGUCAAGUUGACUCGAUUAUCCACAACAUAUAUUGUAUCAGUUACUUUCCUUUCAUGUUGAUAAAACACCCUGAGCAAGCCAUUCUCUAAAAUAAAAGGGUUAAA
Molecule: long non-coding RNA, 2445 nt
Organism: Mastomys coucha (southern multimammate mouse)
Lineage: Eukaryota; Metazoa; Chordata; Mammalia; Rodentia; Muridae
Exons: 2
Source: RefSeq, a predicted model, not a curated record